GAUGAACGCUAGCGGCAGGCUUAACACAUGCAAGUUCGAGGGGUAACACGAGCGCUCGCACUCGAUGACGACCGGCGCACGGGUGCGUAACGCGUAUAGAAAUCUACCUUAUACUAGGGGAUAGCCUUUCGGAAACGAAAGAAUAAUACCCUAUAGUAAGUAUUUAUGGCAUCAUUUAUACUUUAAAGGUUUACGGUAUAAGAAGACUAUGCGUCCUAUUAGUUUGUUGGUGAGGUAACGGCUCACCAAGACUUCGAUAGGUAGGGGCCCCUGAGAGGGGGAUCCCCCACACUGGUACUGAGACACGGACCAGACUCCUACGGGAGGCAGCAGUGAGGAAUAUUGGACAAUGGAGGAAACUCUGAUCCAGCCAUGCCGCGUGCAGGAUGACGGCCCUAUGGGUUGUAAACUGCUUUUAUGUAGGAAGAAACACUCUCACGUGUGAGAGCUUGACGGUACUACAAGAAUAAGGACCGGCUAACUCCGUGCCAGCAGCCGCGGUAAUACGGAGGGUCCAAGCGUUAUCCGGAAUCAUUGGGUUUAAAGGGUCCGUAGGCGGGCUAUUAAGUCAGAGGUGAAAGUUUGCAGCUCAACUGUAAAAUUGCCUUUGAAACUGGUAGUCUUGAAUUAUUAUGAAGUGGUUAGAAUAAGUAGUGUAGCGGUGAAAUGCAUAGAUAUUACUUAGAAUACCAAUUGCGAAGGCAGAUCACUAAUAAUAUAUUGACGCUGAGGGACGAAAGCGUGGGGAGCGAACAGGAUUAGAUACCCUGGUAGUCCACGCCGUAAACGAUGGAUACUAGCUGUUCGGAUUUAUCUGAGUGGUUAAGCGAAAGUGAUAAGUAUCCCACCUGGGGAGUACGUUCGCAAGAAUGAAACUCAAAGGAAUUGACGGGGGCCCGCACAAGCGGUGGAGCAUAUGGUUUAAUUCGAUGAUACGCGAGGAACCUUACCAGGGCUUAAAUGUAGUUCUGACAGGCGUGGAAACGUGCUUUUCUUCGGACAGAUUACAAGGUGCUGCAUGGUUGUCGUCAGCUCGUGCCGUGAGGUGUCAGGUUAAGUCCUAUAACGAGCGCAACCCCUGUUGUUAGUUGCCAGCGAGUCAUGUCGGGAACUCUAACAAGACUGCCAGUGCAAACUGUGAGGAAGGUGGGGAUGACGUCAAAUCAUCACGGCCCUUACGUCCUGGGCCACACACGUGCUACAAUGGUAGGUACAGAGAGCAGCCACUGCGCGAGCUAGGAGCGAAUCUAUAAAACUCUAUCUCAGUUUCGGAAUCGGAGUCUGCAACUCGACUCCGUGAAAGCUGGAAUCGCUAGUAAUCGGAAUAUCGAGCCAUGAUUCCGGUGAAAUACGUUCCCGGGCCU
Molecule: ribosomal RNA, 1364 nt
Filed under: uncultured bacterium
Lineage: Bacteria
Description: bacterial SSU rRNA
Rfam family: Bacterial small subunit ribosomal RNA
Source: RNAcentral